This 89-nucleotide transfer RNA is filed under the name Bacillota bacterium. RNAcentral's name for it is "tRNA-Ser". It matches the Rfam family "tRNA". From Rfam's summary of the family: Transfer RNA (tRNA) molecules are approximately 80 nucleotides in length. Their secondary structure includes four short double-helical elements and three loops (D, anti-codon, and T loops). Lineage: Bacteria; Bacillati; Bacillota. The record is from RNAcentral.
GGAGAGAUGUCCGAGAGGUCGAAGGUGCUUGACUCGAAAUCAAGUGCACGGGUCAUACCGUGCCGAGGGUUCGAAUCCCUCUCUCUCCG